This 241-nucleotide RNase P RNA is filed under the name Encephalitozoon cuniculi GB-M1. RNAcentral's name for it is "Nuclear RNase P". It matches the Rfam family "Nuclear RNase P". From Rfam's summary of the family: Ribonuclease P (RNase P) is a ubiquitous endoribonuclease, found in archaea, bacteria and eukarya as well as chloroplasts and mitochondria. Its best characterised activity is the generation of mature 5'-ends of tRNAs by cleaving the 5'-leader elements of precursor-tRNAs. Cellular RNase Ps are ribonucleoproteins. The record is from Rfam by way of RNAcentral. Lineage: Eukaryota; Fungi; Microsporidia; Unikaryonidae.
GGCUGGAAGCUUUCGAUUAGGGGCCUGCCCCUGGGAAGGUCUGAGAUGAGACGUCUAGCCGAAAGGGCACUUGGUUAAUGCCAAGGGUCGUCCACAACAGAAACACUCACUUCCCCCAUGACCGGAACGGGAUGACUGGGGGGAGUUUGGAAAUUGGACGAUGUCUUAGACUCGAAUAGUCCAACUCGAAAGGCAGCCGUGUUCCAUGCUGUAACCAGAUUCAGACUACUCUCCAGCAGCC